CUCCAGUUAUAAAUGCUGAAUGAAUUCCAGCUUCAUUUGCACCUUUAAUGUCAUGGUGAAGCGAGUCCCCCACAGCAAUAGAAUCCAAAGCAUCCGCACCAGCCAUGGCCAUGGCCGAUUUGUAAAUAAUCUUAUCUGGCUUGCCCAUCCAUUUAACUUCACCCCCAAGCUUCUCAUAUUUUGCAGCUAAUGUACCAGGCAUAACUCGCAAGGCUCUAGCUUCAACAGUCACAAAGUCUGGAUUGGCUACUACCAUAGGAAUUCUUUUAGCAGCACAACGCUCCAAUAUUUUCUCAAGCUCUUCAAGAGUCAUAGGACAAACAGCACCAGAAGGGUGCCCCAAGGCUUCAGUACCAUGGGCCAAAACAAACUCAGCUUCUUCAACAUUUUCCACAAUUUGUAAAUCAAGGCCCUUAAGUGAUAUAGCACCCCGGUCACUCCAGGUCAUGUGAAUGCAAGAUUUUCCUAAUGCUGCAAACCAGUCAUCAUCUCUCCUCUG
RNAcentral lists this unclassified non-coding RNA (499 nucleotides) under Hevea brasiliensis (rubber tree). Lineage: Eukaryota; Viridiplantae; Streptophyta; Magnoliopsida; Malpighiales; Euphorbiaceae. The record is from RNAcentral.